RNAcentral lists this long non-coding RNA (1344 nucleotides) under Calidris pugnax (ruff). Its description in RNAcentral is "lncRNA (ENSCPUG00000011301.1)". Lineage: Eukaryota; Metazoa; Chordata; Aves; Charadriiformes; Scolopacidae. The record is from RNAcentral.
ACUGGAUUGUGCAAACACACCCCUAAUGAUUCCCACGGAUCACGCAACUGGAAUGAGAUGGGCUGCUGGAAGCAGCAGUUACUGAGAUCUGGCACUGGUCCUCUCUGAUUGUGUGGGACACGUGAUGCAGAGGAAUGUAAUGAAAGAUGCAGGAAGCUUAUGACACUUUUGCCUGGUUGGGACCCAUACAUGGAACACAGUCCAGAUCUGGCUCCAAAGAGCUUUCAGCAUCAAUCAACAAGACAAUGUGAAGAAGAGGAGGAGGAGAGAGGCAGUGUUACUUGCCCAAAUAUUAACUCAACAGGAAAAGUACAAGUGCUGCGCUCCUAUUCCUAUGGAUUUCAUAACGUGCAAAGCUUCAAUGGGCACCAGAGGUCCUGGAUUUAGCCAUCUUCACCUGCCUGGCUUGGAGGGGAAGAAUUCUUUCCCCGUGCUGUGGGGAUUUAGACACAUUGCUUUUCUGGCUCCACUUCAGCAACAAGCUCAGUGCUCAACAGCUGAUUUCCCUCUUCCUCCCGGGCCGCGUCUUGUGCGCGUUCACAUCACAUGGUGCUGCUGAUCUGUUUUCCUUUCUGCGUCCUGCUGAAGUAAAUGCCUAAAGAAUUAUUGUAUUAAUGACCUUGGACACUGCUAGAUAAGGAAACUAAAAACCCUGUGUCCAACUAAGAGGUGCCAGGUGUCUUUCCUCCACGUUCAGUGGCUGGUAAGGAUGCUGCCCACCGCAAAACUGCUCAUGCUGGGGACUGAAGGGGUAGGAGAAUUUUUUCCCUUCUUCAGCUGUGUGUCUGUUUACCUUCUUUGCAAUGGAUGGGACAACGAAUGGGAAAACCCAGCUGUGUUUUCACUCCAGGGGCAGCUGAAAAGGUUUGGUCCUCCCAGGAAGCAAAAGCUGGGUUCUGUGGAGGGUUUGGGCAUAUUAAUCAGAAGUGAGAGUGUCAUUCCCCAACAUUAUUCUACCAGAGGAAACAUGGAUGAGAAACAGUCUGUGUGCAACUCCCAGGUGCAGAUGGAGGAGUCAGUUGUUACGUGCUACUCUGCUCGGUGGAUACGCGCCUGGCUACAAGAAAAGGAAGAAGUGUGAAUCAUCUCUCAGAUGACCACAAGCCAUAGGAGAACAAGCUGUAUGAACAGAAAUGAGUGGAACAAGAUGUACCUGUCCAUGGCAGAGGUAAGGAUGCUACUGAGAAGUGGGAUGUGGGAGCUACUGAGAUGUGACAACUUAGUGGAAUAUUUUGUCUGUGUGGAUGGACUGAAAAGCUAUACUUUAGAAAGCAGUCUGGAACACGUGGCAGAAAUGCGUGUUGGCUUUUGACGCAUCUGAUGUAAAUUAAGUCAUGAAUGAGC